Molecule: ribosomal RNA, 356 nt
Filed under: uncultured fungus
Lineage: Eukaryota; Fungi
Description: SSU rRNA
Rfam family: Eukaryotic small subunit ribosomal RNA
Source: RNAcentral
GUAGUCAUAUGCUUGUCUCAAAGAUUAAGCCAUGCAUGUCUAAGUAUAAACAACUUUAUACUGUAAAACUGCGAACGGCUCAUUAUAUCAGCAAUAAUUUAUUUGAUGGUUUCUUACUACAUGGAUAACUGUAGUAAUUCUAGAGCUAAUACAUGCGUAAAGUCCCGACUCUCGCGGGGAGGGAUGUAUUUAUUAGAUAAAAAACCAAUGCGGGGUCUCCUCGCCUUUGUGUUGAAUCAUAGUAACUUCUCGAACGCCAUGGCCUUGUGCUGGGCGUAGAUCAUUCAAAUUUCUGUCCUAUCAGCUUUCGACGGUAGUGUAGUGGACUACCGUGGCGUCAACGGGUAACGGGGAAU